GUCUUGCUGCGGCUCUCGUCGGAGGCAACCAUAUCCCGGGGACCUUAAUUCAUCUCGACGGGAGCUGUCCCUGCUUGGGUUCGUGGACCCCGGCACACGGCGCCCACCUGGUAAGCCAGGUCCGAGGGGAUUGAACCGCCCUCCACGGCUCUUCGCGGCGCCGCC
Molecule: non-coding RNA, 165 nt
Filed under: Caulobacterales bacterium 32-69-10
Lineage: Bacteria; Pseudomonadati; Pseudomonadota; Alphaproteobacteria; Caulobacterales
Description: 6S RNA
Rfam family: 6S / SsrS RNA
About the family: E. coli 6S RNA was the first non coding RNA to be sequenced, but its function was unknown until recently. It consists of 184 nucleotides that fold into an extended hairpin structure with a large single-stranded internal bulge. The 6S RNA specifically associates with RNA polymerase holoenzyme containing the sigma70 specificity factor.
Source: RNAcentral